RNAcentral lists this ribosomal RNA (353 nucleotides) under Sinumelon vagente. RNAcentral describes it as "partial 16S ribosomal RNA". The stretch from base 2 to 145 matches the Rfam family "Archaeal large subunit ribosomal RNA", at positions 1889 to 2083 of the family's 2987-position model. Lineage: Eukaryota; Metazoa; Mollusca; Gastropoda; Stylommatophora; Camaenidae. The record is from RNAcentral.
UCGCCUGUUUAUCAAAAACAUAGCUAUUAGAAUAAAAUAUAGUGAAUUCUGCUCAAUGAAUUUUAAAUAGCCGCAGUACACUGACUGUGCAAAGGUAGCAUAAUCAGUUGGCUUAUAAUUGAAGUCUUGUAUGAAUGAAUAAAUGGGGAGUAACUGUACGAUAGAAAAUGAAAUUACUAAGGAGUGCAAAUUCUUACAAAUACAUAAUAGACGAGAAGACCCUAGAUAAUAUUUUUUUGUUGGGGCAACGUAACAGAAAUUACAUGAACAAGAAAUUAUUAUAAAUUACUCUAGGGAUAACAGCGUAAUAUUUAUAUGUUUGCGACCUCGAUGUUGGACUAGGAAACGAAUAC